GACGGGCACAAUUCCAGUGGCGGACGUUCUCGCCGCUAAAGAACAGUUAAGACUAUCCGUGGGAUAAAAAUUCGGCGGAGGAUGUUCCUCGCCCUUCUUGCACCAUUCACCUCGAGCCUUGAACUCCGCCUGAAACAAGGGUGGACAUUUCAAGGCUCCUUUGUGGAGCCAAUUGUUCUGCAAUACCCUUAUCGCGAUUUCUUGACCGGAAUGGAAACACGUGAAUGUGUAGUUUCCAACCUUCGGGAGUAACGUUACAAAACAUAAAAAGGGAGCAGAGUGAUCAUCGGUUUCCUUGAUCCGAUGGAGAAAGAAUUAAAAAAAAAAAAAUUCAACCCAGCUUACCACGAUGUGCAAUCUCCCAAGCUCGCAUUUGUACUGAUAGCAGCCGGACCCCCAAUGCUGCCACUGUCUCGCCUGCUUGCAAUUUCUCUCCUCCCACAUCUGAUCUGCGUUAUCAAAGCAUCUCGACUGAGGCCCGUACUUCUCGACGGCAAAAUUCUUGUCCAAGACUGAAAACGUCGAGUUACAAUAAAGCAAUGCGACCCUCUGACAACGAUGUUCCUCGCCUUCCACGUGAAUUCCUGGAUGUAAGGACAGUAGUCAGCCAAGGAUACGGAACCACCGUAGUAUUCUUCCCUACCCGAUGGAACGUGCGGUAUCGAGUCAAAGUUC
Long non-coding RNA from Neodiprion virginianus, 675 nucleotides. RefSeq lists it as uncharacterized. NCBI's taxonomy places the organism in Eukaryota, Metazoa, Arthropoda, Insecta, Hymenoptera, Diprionidae. The transcript has 3 exons. The record is from RefSeq and is a predicted model, not a curated record.